Long non-coding RNA from Mustela erminea (ermine), 7636 nucleotides. RefSeq lists it as uncharacterized. The transcript is spliced from 7 exons. NCBI's taxonomy places the organism in Eukaryota, Metazoa, Chordata, Mammalia, Carnivora, Mustelidae. The record is from RefSeq and is a predicted model, not a curated record.
GGCCUGUGCAGGGGGAAGCAAACAGAACUCGGUUACGGGGUUUGUCUAAGUCACGUGCCCCCAGCCGCACUUCCUCCGCGCGCCCCGCCCCGCAGGCGACCUGCGGGGGUCCGAGAUCCCGAAGCCGAGCACCCGGAGCUGCGCCACCCUCCCAGUGUCCCGCGGCACUCUCGAGGGUGAAGGCGGACGGGUGGCCUCCAGGGCGCCACCGUCUGGUCUCCAGACAGCUUGGCACGCCCCCGCCUCAUUCCUGGUCUGGCCUCCCGGGCGGGUGCGGUGGUCUGCGCUCUCGGGGCGCCCCAGGAGAGGUUCCCGGGCCUCUGAAUGAAUCCGGCUCGAGAGGGAAGCUGGCCUUGCCCUGUCACCUUGUCUGACUGUAGAGGGAUGCCCAAAGGUGACCCAGUUGGCCCAGAGGGGCCUCCUCUUGGAUGAGCACCUGGGAGGAGGGCGCCCGGGAGCGAGCGCAUCCCUGCUCUAGUUCCUCCCUCCAGAGAAAAACUUGCUGUGCGCAACCGGGAACUCCAAACAGUUGUGCUUCUCCCCAGCUUUAAAAGCAGCGCACUGCGGAGCGAAAAGGCUUAUUGUGGGCAGCGAGAAUGCGGCGAGCACUUCUGUGCUGGGUCUACACGCAUUAACUCCACGAAUGCGCGGGAUUCGCUGGUGCAGCGGAGCAUUUCCAGGUUUCUCCAGGGCUCCUUCCCAUCCCACGCGCCGGGCGCUCCCGGGUUUGCCGGCGCGCCGGGGAGCGAAAGUUGAGCGGUGUUUGUUGUUGGAGGCUGGGCUCCCGGAACCGCUGGGGAAGUUUGAGCGCCUACGCGAGGCGGCGCGGCAGCCUCCGAGGCAGAGACCUGGGCCCUGGCUCCUCCCCAGGACGCCCCGAGGACAAACUCGGGGUGCGACUUGAAAACAAAAGAAGAUAAAACCGCCUAAAGUUCUUCCAGUAAAAAGGCACCCACUCCUUCCUGGCCCCCCCUCCCCGGCACGGUUUGCACUUGGGUUUGCAAACAUCCUGCUCCCUCUAUUGUACAGAUCGGAGAAGCACCCCCAAGUUAUUCAUUGGUGGUGGUGGUGGGGUGUCCUGAUGGCUGUCUUCGGUCUUCCACUCUACAUUCUCUUUUCCACGACCAACUGUGUGCGCGGAAACGCUUUGCACUAAUCACGCAAGGAAAAGACUGCAAAUUACAGAAAUGUACGCGGAGAGUUGCGGCUCGCAAUUUCUCCCCAGGAGCUGAGGGGAGCACCCCAGGUUGACACCCCGGAAUGGGCUCUGUCUUGGCGGACGCAGAAUCACCCUAAUCGCUCACCUGUUCGGGCUUCCCAGGAUCCCACGACUCCAAGUCGCCCUCACCUCCAAGAGAACGGAGGGAGUGCUCUUGGGACAACUUGGAAGCCCGGCGCAGGGUCCCUCCCGCGCAGUCUUGGGGAGGUCGGGCUUCUUUCUGGAAGGUGUGUCAGCCGAAAUCUCUGCAGUCCAGCUAAGCCGAUUGCUGCUGCUGCUGCUGCUGCUGCUGGUCUUCCCCGGCGCCUCCGACUUCGGCCCGCCGCAGUGGUGGCGGCAGUUCUGGGCCCGCGGCGCGUUCGGCUCCAGCCGGAGGGCGCCUGGCGAGCAGGUGCCAGACUCACUGCCCCAGGUGAAUGCCCACGCAGGCUCUCCGGGUUAGUACGCCUGUCAUUCUCCCGCGCGUCCCUCUUCCCUGCUAUCGCUGCCGGGCAGCCGCGGGGAGAUCGGCUGCUCGCUCUGGUGCAUUGAUCCUGCUUACACUCUGUCCUCUGCACGGGAAAAGACCUCUUUCUGUCCACCUGCUGGUUAUUCGCCAAGUGAUUCGAGAAACCAGAACUCCGGGGUCAGAGGGGAAAAAGAAAAAAAAAAAAAAAGACCCAACAACAAACAACCGAGGAGGCGGCCACAGCUGCCACAGGUGCAGGUAGGAACUUGGCGUUCCCGCCCUCCAGGAGACGAGAUUGGAUCGGGUCGCGUACGUGACGCCGGCCUGGGGUGUCUGAUUGGAGAAACGCCGCGCGGCGCCGCUCGCCGGCCGGGCUCCUUCUCAAAGAAGAAACGCUAGAAGAGAUCGUAGACCGAGAGAUCGCGGGUGUACGUAGGGAAGAAAUGAAUGAUCUGGAGGACAUGACAUUGUGACACAAGCAAGACUCCCCGGCACAUCCUGACUCAGGAAACAAAGGCUACGUCACCGCAGUCCUUUAUGACAAGGAGAACAUCUCACUGCCUCUACCCUUACUACCUGCAUCUGCUCAAAUGUUCUCCAUGGAUCCACAACCAACAAAACAGACAUCUGUAGGAGGCACAGCAAAGACCCACGACAGGGCCUUUGUUCACUCUCACCCCUGCUGUUCUCACAUGGAGGCGGCGAGUGUCUAUGAGACACAGAAGCCGACUUGACAGUCCACUGUGGUCCAGGAAAUUCCGUCACUUGCUUGAAAAACAAAUCAAGGAUUGUUGACAUUGCCUUCAGCCAGUGGAAGUAAAUGACUUAGUGACUCUGGUAAGAAAAUCAGUCCUUCUUAAUAAAUGUGGACAUGUGAUUAGAGGGUACUGGUUGAAAGGGGCAGCCGAUUCCUAGCUGGCCCACAGUUCAUACACAUUUCAGGCUAGGCUUGUAUGGAAGUCUUUUCUUUCCUGUAGUUGCUUCCUGCUGGUCUGUAUGCUCCCAAGCAGGGACACUGAUGGCAGAUCUCCGGUCUGCUGGCAGGGCUCAUGUCAGCGGAGGAAGGUCACUGCAGGAUGGGGCUGCCAUGAGCGUAGGAAUAGCCAGACCGCUAUCACGGGACAGGGGAAUGGCUGGAAUGUGGCCAGACAGGAAAGCAGUUGGACAUUAUUUCUAGUUCCCACAGGAUGAGGUCUGGAGCAGUAAUUAUUGUUGGAAUUGAAAAGCAUCAUUUCAACAUCCAGAUGAGAACAGCAAAGCCUUCAAGAAUAAAAGUCCAGUUCCAGAGCUGGCUUCGUACCUUCCUAGUGGGAUAAAAUUACAGUCUCCUAGAUUCUUGUUUUCAGGAAUUGAGGUUUUUGGAUGUUUGUAGUAGAACUAAAAGACAAUAGGAUUAAAACCUGUUUAGGUUCUGCACAGAAGGCCAUCCUUUUGUUUCUAUUCUCUUGGAGCUAAUUAAAUUGGCCACUUAGUAUUUUUUUUAGGAAGCCAAUGAGCUUGCAUUAUUUUCAUGUUGCAAAGCUAAGGAGACAGGAAAGAGGACUACUCUCCACUGUCAGCUUGCUCCCGUCUCCCCAUUAAGUCAGGCACCAUGCCUGGCCAAACAAGACAGUUAGCAAACCCUCCAUCAGAAAAAUACUAAAUUAUUGGCAUUAAAUAUUCAACUGGGACAUAUCAGCAUUUUUCCUAAUAAUUAUACUUUGCCUUCCAAACUAUAACAAUUAGAACUAAUUUCUCUCUAAAGAAAUUAUGGCUAGCUAAAAGCCAGGCUGGCAUUCAUAGUCUAUUACUUAUCCAAAAAUUGCUCAAACUCUUAAAUUCAAUAGAGUAAUCAAAAUGAAAACCUUCUGAGCUCAAUGUUAUUAUAUCUCUGAUCGCUGUGAAUAUGAGCAACAAUAUAUGUUUUAUAAGAUUAAAACAAAACAAAACAAAACUGAGAGUUUAUACAGUAUUCUCAACUUGCUUCCUUUCACUUUUGAAUGGGUCUGUAAAUUAAUCAGUGCAGACAAUUUUUGGUUCAUUUCAUCUAAGAAUGGGCUACUGCUGUGUGUCUUUCUGAAACACAGAGGAAGGCCCACAGAAAGGCCCUGAUCCCUCCAACAUCUCAAAGACCAACUCACUGACCUCAUUAUAUAUGUACAGUGAAGGAAAGAGAUCCACAGCUGGGUCAAUGAGUCUGGAACCAGAGGCUCCAGUGUCCUUCAAAUCUCCAAACAUCUCCACCCAUCUCGUGUGCUGUCACACAGCCCGGAGUGGAGCUCUCUCUGGUUGGUACCCUCUGAGAUGCCUCACCGUGAUCCCUGCUUCCUGUAAGUCCUACUCCUGUGUGAUCCCUUCCCCUAAGGGAUGGGACGGACCUAGGGACUUAUUUCUAACAGACAGAAGAUAGUGAAAGCAACUGGAUGUCGCUCCUGAGGUUAGGGUGCAGAAAGAGUGUAGCUUUUGUCUUAGGUGCUCUUGCCUGCUUGCUCUGAAGGAUGCCAGCUGCCAUUUUGUGAGCCGCCCAGGGGGGGAGAUCCACAUGGCAGGGAACUGCGGGUGGCCUCCAGCAAACAGUCGGCAAGAGAAUGAGGCCUCCGGUCAUGCAGCCUCCAAGGAACUGAAUCCAGCCGACCACCUUGUGUGUGAGCUUGGAAGCUCAUGCUCCCCUAGUUGAACCUUUAGAAGAGAUGACAGCCUGGCCAUCACCACCACCACAGCCUCAGUGGAGGCCUUGACCCAGAGGCAGCCAGAUAAGCCACACCUGGGUUCCUGAUCACAGAGACUGUGAGAUAAUCUGCAUUUUUAAAGCCUCCAAUCUGGGGGGGUGGCAAUUUGUUACUUGGUGAUAGGUCACAAAUCCAUCCAGAAAACCAAAGGAUCAGGACAGGAAUGUGCCUACCCAGACGCAAGGUAGGUUCAGGAGUCUGGAACUAGAACAAGCAGAAGGAGGAAGAACAGAACACGGAGAACAGGGCUUGUGUAGGAAGCAUAUGCUGACCUGGACGGAGUGUGGACCAAUGGUGAAGGCUGAGCGUGGGCUCUUGACCAGACUGCCUGGAUAUCAAGCCUGGCUCCAGCUUACCUCUUCAUAGCAGGUAUUUUACCUCCUUUAAACAUCAGCAAUCUCCUCUGUAACCCAAGGCCCUUAAACAUACCCACCUCACAGAGAUAAGCCCCUAAAGUGGGGGUGCCCCUCCAGUCACGGAGUCAGGGUUCUAGCAGUUACAAAUGGGGCUGGCCUAGCAAAGGCAGCAGAGUUCAUUUUACAGAAGAGCCUGUCCCCUCAGCGGGUGAGGGAGGAAGGUUGGGAGCUCCUCCUAAGGCAUUCACUGUCCAAGGCAGACAGGGUUUACAGAGGAUGUGUCAAGGAGCUGUUGGCUUACUUCUUGAGAUGGAUCAUCAGAUAUCGGAGGGUUUCAUAGUGGGCCGGCGGCAGCAGCAUCAGCACGUCAUGGACGGCUUCCAACCUCUCAUCCGCAUUGGAGAUUUCUGGGAAGAGCCCACAGAAGCAGUUAGUGCAGUGCUAGAACAUCAAAGUUUUCAGAGAAGUAAAAAGAAGUUUGGUUUGUUCUGGUGACAGGUGGAAGGGAAGUCUAGUGAGUUCAUGCAAUUUCAGGUAACAUUUCACUUAAAUUAAUCAAAGCAUUUGUAUCUUGUCUGAUUCCAGUAAGGGUUGGAGGUUGGGAACUACACACGUGUUGAACACCCAGUGGGUGGGUGAAAGGAAGCUGGGCCUGGUCCUUGCCCCCCAGGAAUCUAUAGUCCUGGAGAUGUUUGCAGGUGGCACAGAUGGCUUUGCUUAUCUUCUGAAUGCUGGACUUGCUUGAAAUCUCAAUAUCAUGAGCUUUAAUUUAAACUGGACCAUACUUUGUAGGGUUCUCCUACAGCUGUCUGACAAGCCUUUUCCUGCAAGGCUCCCAUGACUGAAUGCACUUUAUGACACAAGGGGGCUGGCUCACCGGUGCAGCUUGCAUCGAUGGCGCCAUUCAUCAAAGUGUUGGCAUGGUUAACUGUGCUGUACAGUCUGGGUUAGGAAGCAAAUACUAGGCCUGUUCACAAACAGAGGAAACAUGCAUGCUUCUGCUUUUUAGGGCUCUGAUUGGUAUUAGCAGUCAUUCAAGGAACACUCCCCUGCCAUUUCUGCUGGGGCAAAGGGUGCUGGGCUGCCAGAACCUUCUUCACCCAGGACCGCCAGGACCCAGGAGAGAAGGCUCUUACCAGGAAGAGGGGCCAUGGCUCAUCAGGAAAGUACAUCUUGCACUAAUCCCAGCCUGCCCACAUUUGUCCCCAUUGGGCAUCUUAUUAUUAUACUUACCUUUGAGGAAUUUCUUAUGAAAAAGAUCUUUAAAGGGUGCUUGUUUGCUAUGUCAUGCAUUCCAGCAUCUACUCUGCCCUUCCUUCCUAUGUUCCUGGGAAAAGUGCAGCACCGCUUCCCACUCCCUGCCCCCUAUCUCCCACCCUAAUAUGGUCCUCUCUCCUGACACCAGUCAACCCAAGUACCAAACACUAAUGAACAACCAUCGGCUGAAGGAAGACCAAUGAUGAUGAUGUUUGGUUCCUGGCCCUGAGUGCUCAGCUCUCAGACGCUAGCUUUCCUACUCAUAAGCCGCCUCAUCAGGUAGAUGAGUAGAUGGAGAACAUUAUGGAGCAGUCCUGGUAUAGCACGUGCCAUGGUAUUAUCAGUUGUGAACAUCAGUGAGCAAAGCUUGGGGUCUAACUUUAAUUGAUUAGCAAUGAGAGUGUGCUUAAUGGAUGAAAGUAGCUGAUCUAUAUAGUCCUCAUUGGAGAAAAUCUGCUUGUUUACACCAGACUCAUUUUUGUUUUUGAUAUAUAACAGAGUAGCCCCGGCUGGGCCGGUUCCAGCAGAGAAGAGACGAAAUGGAGAGAGAACUGCCUGGCGCCAAGCUUCAGCCGCGUGGGGGACUUUCAUCUGGGAAACUCCAAUCUUCUCUCAUGUAUGGAUAAUGAUCUAUUCUAAUCAUGUUUGCAAUCAUUCUGAAGACAUUUUUUGACUUUUGUUUUACCAUUAGUAAAAAUCAGUCCAAUUUAACUGUCGCAGACUAUACAUUUUUUGGAUAAGAAAGUUUCAAUCAUAUCGAGAUGAUUAGCAGUUUCUUUUACAUGGAGAAUUGAAGGAAAGCACAAAUGUCUGAGCAGAUUUGGUGCUGAGGAUAAAAACCUGGCAUCCAGAAAGCAGUGAGCAUGGCAGAUGGGUCACCCCAUCCCAUUAUUUACAUACUUAAUAAAUAUCUAUUGAGAUUCUACCCUGUGGCAGGCACUGUUAAGCACUGGUAAGUCAAAGAUGAAAAGACAUUCUCCCUUGAAAGAGCCCUAGUCAUUCUGGGAGUCAGGCAGGCAACUCCAUAGUUCUAAGGAAAUGGGAAGCUUGCUAGGCUGGAAACAUGAAAACAUGGUAGGGGGAGUGGACACAGGAAAGGACAAUGGGCCUCUUAGGUCAGCUUGAGGAUGAAUGACAGAGGAAAGACUUCAGUGGACACUGACUAAUAGGUAAGUGUUUUCCAGGUAGAUAUGAAUGAAUUUUAGAAGAAUGUGAGCCAAGGUACUUGUUCAUGAAAACAGGGAAGGUGUAUUUGAGUAUAGCUGAGGCACAAAGCAGCUGUGCCAAGGUCAGGGCCAAGGAACAGACCAUGAGCCUGAAAAGACAGGGUGACCAGAUCAUCCCAGACCUUGUCUAGUGUUCUCCAGAGUGAAGGUUCUAUCUAGUAGGCUAGGGGUUCCAACACUUGACGGGAUUUACUACCAUUAUUUGGACCAUUCAAUAGAAAUACUAGAAAGAAACACUAACUUGGAAAGGUAUGUAAAUCCCCAUGUUCACUGCAGCAUUAGUCACAAAAGCCAAGACAUGGAAACAACGUAACUGUUCACCGAUAGAUGAACAUAGAGGAGAUGCAGUAUAUAAAUACAUAUAAUGGAAUAUUAUUCAGCCAUAAAAAGGAGUGAAAUCUUGCCAUUUGUGGCAACAUGGA